Long non-coding RNA from Juglans microcarpa x Juglans regia, 543 nucleotides. RefSeq lists it as uncharacterized. NCBI's taxonomy places the organism in Eukaryota, Viridiplantae, Streptophyta, Magnoliopsida, Fagales, Juglandaceae. The transcript has 3 exons. The record is from RefSeq and is a predicted model, not a curated record.
AUAUCCGCUGUUUCGGUCACAAUUUCCCUCAUGCAGUUCGUCCCUUUUUCCUCUAAAAAUUAUUUUUCCUUCGUAUUAACCCUUAAAAAGCUGAAGGGAGAGAGAGAGAGAUCCCUCCGUGUCUCAAUGGAGUUUUCUGACUAGUCUCUCUCUGCAUUUUUUUUUUUUUUUCAAGAAAGAUCGUAUUACGGCCAGAAAGGUGUACCAUGAUUUGGGAUAUCUUCUGCUGGAAAGAGAAAUGGUUGGAUCAGACGAGAACAAUCCGGGCGUGAUCGGACUCUCAAAUCUUCAAGAAGUUGAAUUUCGUGCUGGAGGUGGAAAAUGGGGUUUGGGCGUUGGACACAACCGGCGAGCGCUGAGCAGCAUUGACCGGAAUAUAAUAGGAGCGCCUCCUUAUCCUUAUGCUGUCAACAAAAAUUUCUUUUCAGAGUAGGUUCUCAUUCCCUAAUGUAUAUAUGGUUGCUGUGGGAAAACUCGAAUAAAUGUUGUCUUUUUGUUUUCUGUUACUUUGCAUAGUCGAUCAAUUCAAUAUAAGUAGGAAAC